GUACUGAUAGCUCAACUAUUAGGCUUCGGGGGAGUACUGCCAGACUGGAACCGGGAGAGGUAAGAGGUACUACAGGGGUAGGAGUGAAAUCUUGUAAUCCCUGUGGGACCACCUGUGGCGAAGGCGUCUUACCAGAACGGGUUCGACGGUGAGGGACGAAAGCUGGGGGCACGAACCGGAUUAGAUACCCGGGUAGUCCCAGCCGUAAACGAUGCUCGCUAGGUGUCAGGCAUGGCGCGACCGUGUCUGGUGCCGCAGGGAAGCCGUGAAGCGAGCCACCUGGGAAGUACGGCCGCAAGGCUGAAACUUAAAGGAAUUGGCGGGGGAGCACAACAACGGGUGGAAGCCUGCGGUUUAAUUGGACUCAACGCCGGACAACUCACCGGGGGCGACAGCAAUAUGUAGGCCAAGCUGAAGACUUUGCCUGAAUCGCUGAGAGGAGGUGCAUGG
This 450-nucleotide ribosomal RNA is filed under the name uncultured archaeon. RNAcentral's name for it is "bacterial SSU rRNA". It matches the Rfam family "Archaeal small subunit ribosomal RNA", at positions 548 to 997 of the family's 1478-position model. The record is from RNAcentral.